This 748-nucleotide unclassified non-coding RNA is filed under the name Hevea brasiliensis (rubber tree). Lineage: Eukaryota; Viridiplantae; Streptophyta; Magnoliopsida; Malpighiales; Euphorbiaceae. The record is from RNAcentral.
AAAUUACAAGAGGUUAAGAAUCAUUUCCAAGAAAGCACAAGACUAAAAGUAACUUUUAUUUCCAAAACACAACACUGCCAUCAGUAGUUAACAUAUCAUCAUAUAAACUAUGCAUGAGAGAUAUAAAGCUAUGAUAACCAUCACAUCCCAAAUGCGAUGAACUAAGAAUUUGCUGGUGUAAACUUGAGGGAAACACUAUUGACACAAUGGCGUUCAUCCGUUGGGGUAGGGAAACCCUCACCCUUGAAAACAUGACCAAGAUGACCGCCACAAGCUGCACAAGUAAUCUCAACCCUCCUGCCAUCAGGGUCAGGAGUGCGAUUAAUUGCUCCAGGAAGACCCUCAAAGAAAGCUGGCCAACCACAGCCUGAGUUGAAUUUUGCUGUGGACUUGUAGAGAGGAGUGCUACAUCCUGCACAUUGGUAGACUCCUUCACCAGAAAACUUGUCAUACUCUCCGGUACCUGGAUACUCAGUGCCUUUCUGUCUUAGAAUACGGAACUGCUCAGGAGAUAGAAUUGCACGCCAGUCUUCCUCUGACUUGUGAACGGAGUCUGGUGCAGCCAUAGCAACAACCCCACCUCUGAACCCUCUCUUACUUGAUGAUGAUGAUGAUGAUGAAAACCUGAAUUGGGUCUUGGGAUGACCACAAAUGCUAACAACCUUUUUGGCUUGAAAUCUCAAGAAUGGGGUGGCGUUGAUAAACAGAGGGGUUGACGAAGCAAAAGGUGAGAUUUUGAGAAUAUGAG